Cervus elaphus (red deer) is the source of this 325-nucleotide long non-coding RNA. RefSeq lists it as uncharacterized. The transcript has 3 exons. NCBI's taxonomy places the organism in Eukaryota, Metazoa, Chordata, Mammalia, Artiodactyla, Cervidae. The record is from RefSeq and is a predicted model, not a curated record.
GCGGAGCCUAGCGGAGCCGGGAGCAGGGCCGUACAGUAUCGCGAGAGCGGGAGAGGUGGCUCUGGGCCUCGUCGAGUCUUCCCGAGAUUCCCUGGGUACAAAGUUUCCCGUGUGGCUGGGAAACUACCAGAAUGCACGCUGAUGAGAGUACACUGAGGCAGUACAGAGACAGUCCUGCGGUCUGAAGCCUUCAUUUCUGAAGUCCCAGCAGUGUUUGUAUCUGCCUCUUCCCAGAUGAGAAGGUUGUAUUAUCUUUGCUCAAGGUCUCCUGCAUUGCAGGCAGAUUCUUUACCAGCUGAGCCACAAGGGAAGCCCAAGAAUAUUG